This 1264-nucleotide long non-coding RNA is filed under the name Anser cygnoides (Swan goose). RNAcentral describes it as "lncRNA (ENSACDG00005001610.1)". Lineage: Eukaryota; Metazoa; Chordata; Aves; Anseriformes; Anatidae. The record is from RNAcentral.
ACCUAAUGCAGAAGAAGCAUAGCAAAUAUUUUUUUGAGGAUAAUUAAAAAAAAAAAAAAAGACAAUAAAAAUAGUAGAGCAUUUUAUUUAUUUUAUUUUAUUUUAUUUUAUUUUUUAUUAUUAUUUUUUAAAGAUUGAUCUUUAGAAUCACGAAAGAUAAAGAUCAUGUUCUGCAAUAUGCCAACACUGUAUUGAGCAAAUAUUCUUUGACCCCAUUAGCACAAUGACAAGCCAAACUUAUAAUUAGAUUUGGCAUAGUACUAGCAUGGCUUUUGGUUGUCUUGAUGCAUGAGUCAGGUCCUGUAAGAAUACACCUUACAUUGAAAUGCAACGUAUAAACAUUCCCAGAGACAUCUAGCACCUUGUACCAUUGCUCAAUACAUUAUUGUAAAGGUAGCAUUCUUCAGCAUCUACAAAUGAUACUCCUAGAUGGACAUCCAGAUUUACAGCCCCUUACAGAAGUGAAAUGUAUGUCAUUAUGGAUUUACAAGCCUCUUUCCUACAUUUUGUCCGUGGUUACAUAUUGCCUAGCAAUGCAUCUUGCAGGUGUUACUGUAAUAUAAAAAUGAAUAUUGAAUGAUUAGGAGAAUAAUGAUAGUAAGAAUUAAGGAUUUUUCCUUGUGACUCACAUCACAGUUUAACUGUUGUUGUUUUCCUGUGUAAAUGCUACUACUGGGAAGGCAGUUUUAGGAAAGCUCAGAAAAAUCCAUACUAUUAAUUUUAACUCUAUAUGAAUCUCUGACUAUGAAAGCAAUAAAAAAAAUAUUCUAGUCAUAAACUAAUAUCUAUAUGUAUACUUAUAUAUUUUUAAAAAUCUAAAAGAAAAAUGUGAAAGUUACUGUUACUUAGAAGGAGUUUAGCCUCAGAGGUGAGGAAAGCUAAGACUGUAAACUAGAAUUGAUGCCCUGGCUCUAAGCAAGCUGGUGUUUCUUCUCUGGGAUCAGCUGUGGGAUCAGGUGUGUGCCUCAUGAGGGAAGCUAUAAAAGUGGGUUAUGGGACACAGGUCAAGACAUUUUGUGGAGCUGAUCAAGCAGAUGCUGUGAUAGGAAGCCAGAGGAUGAGGGCAAUCUUUACUUCUUUCCUUCAUCAAAAACUGAAAGGCAGUACCAGCUCCACCUGGCUAUCAGCUAUGUGGGAGGUAAGUCAGAUACAAUUGAACUACAAGGUGUGUGCUUCCAAUGGCAGACAUUUUUGCACCUUCACGGAAAAAACUUACAAAACAAUUAUUUAUAUAAAGAGAAAUACCUUCUACGGUGCUGCUUAA